AUGAGACAUGGAGGCUCAACGGUCUAGUGGCAUGAUUCUCGCUUUGGGUGCGAGAGGUCCCGGGUUCAAAUCCCGGUUGAGCCCAUUAUUAAAGUGUAACUAAUGUUAAAGAUAGGGACUGUCUUCUUCGUCUCUAUGGAUAUACUAAAAUGCAAGGGACAUAGAGGCUCAAUGGUCUAGUGGCAUGAUUCUUGCUUUAGGUUCAAGUCCCGGUUGAGCCCAUUGUUGGAGUGUAACUAAUGUUGUCAGUGCAAUUUCCGCUUGUUUCAUUUUUUACAAAGACACUCGAAAUAGCACAUCCUUAAUGCUAUUUAAUGAGGAGAACAAACUAAACUCGACUGAAUCGCAAGUCUUGCCCUGAAGUUAAGAGUACUUCCUUAUUGUAGGUGUUAUCACAUGCGCCUAACAUCCCUAACGUGCCUUUUGGAUUCGGGUGAGGUACUCAUGUAGUAAUAACUUAAACUACUGUGGGUCCCAGUCUUACGCAGUUGUAUAGCUACGGACUCUGUGGCGCAAUGGUAGCGCGUCUGACUCCAGAUUAGAUGGUUGCGUGUUCAAUUCACGUCAGAGUCAGAAAAAACAGCAUUAAAACAUGGUUACAAAAUAAUGGUUCUUGAGUGAAGUAAUUGUAAGAAGAAAAUCUUGCUCCAGGUUGUGACUUCAUUAUUGCGUACUGAGGCUUUUUUUUAUAUCCUUAGAGACAACGAAGACAGUCCCUAUUUUUCCAAAGCCAUUCCUAAUAGAACAUUGUGACAUGUUGCAUGUGUCAUGGAGGCUCAAUGGUCUAGUGGCAUGAUUCUCGCUUUGGGUGCAAGAGGUCCGGGGUUCAAAUCCCGGUUGAGCCCAUUAUUAAAGUGUAACUAAUGUUAAAGAUAGGGACUGUCUUCUUCGUCUCUAUGGAUAUAAUAAAAUGCAAGGGACAUAGAGGCUCAAUGGUCUAGUGGCAUGAUUCUUGCUUUAGGUUCAAAUCCCGGUUGAGCCCAUUGUUGGAGUGUAACUAAUGUUGUCAGUGCAAUUUCCGCUUGUUUCAUUUUUUAUAAAGACACUCGAAAUAGCACAUCCUUAAUGUUAUUUACUGCAGAGAACAAACCAAACUCGACUGAAUCGCAAGUCUUGCCCUGAAGUUAAGAGUACUUCCUUAUUGUAGGUGUUAUCACAUGCGCCUAACAUCCCUAACGUGCCUUUUGGAUUCGGGUGAGGUACACAUGUAGUAAUAACUUAAACUACUCUGGGUCCCAGUCUUACGCAGUUGUAUAGCUACGGACUCUGUGGCGCAAUGGUAGUGCGUCUGACUCCUCCAGAUCAGAAGGUUGCGUGUUCAAUUCACGUCAGAGUCAGAAAAAACAGUAUUAAAACAUGGUUACAAAAUAAUGGUUCUUGAGUGAAGUAAUUGUAAGAAGAAAAUCUUGCUCCAGGUUGUGACUUAAUUAUUGCGUACUGAGGCUUUUUUUUAUAUCCUUAGAGACAACGAAGACAGUCCCUAUUUUGCCAAAGCCAUUCUUAAUAGAACAUUGUGACAUGUUGCAUUUGACAUGGAGGCUCAAUGGUCUAGUGGCAUGAUUCUUGCUUUGGGUGCGAGAGGUCCCGGGUUCAAAUCCCGGUUGAGCCCAUCCUUAAAGUCUAACUAAUGUUAAAGAUAGGGACUGUCUUCUUCGUCUCUAUGGAUAUAAUAAAAUGCACGGGACAUAGAGGCUCAAUGGUCUAGUGCCAUGAUUCUUGCUUUAGGUUCAAAUCCCGGUUGAGCCCAUUGUUGGAGUGUAACUAAUGUUGUCAGUGCAAUUUCCGCUUGUUUCAUUUUUUACAAAGACACUCGAAAUAGCACAUCCUCAAUGCUAUUUAAUGCAGAGAACAAACCAAACUCGACUGAAUCGCAAGUCUUGCCCUGAAGUUAAGAGUACUUCCUUAUUGUAGGUGUUAUCACAUGCGCCUAACAUUCCUAACGUGCCUUUUGGAUUCGGGUGAGGUACACAUGUAGUAAUAACUUAAACUACUCUGGGUCCCAGUCUUACGCAGUUGUAUAGCUACGGACUCUGUGACGCAAUGGUAGCGCGUCUGACUCCAGAUCAGAAGGUUGCGUGUUCAAUUCACGUCAGAGUCAGAAAAAACAGCAUUAAAACAUGGUUACAAAAUAAUGGUUCUUGAGUGAAGUAAUUGUAAGAAGAAAAUCUUGCUCCAGGUUGUGACUUCAUUAUUGCGUACUGAGGCUUUUUUUAUAUCCUUAGAGACAACGAAGACAGUCCCUAUUUUUCCAAAGCCAUUCUUAAUAGAACAUUGUGACAUGUUGCAUGUGACACGGAGGCUCAAUGGUCUAGUGGCAUGAUUCUCGCUUUGGGUGCGAGAGGUCCCGGGUUCAAAUCCCGGUUGAGCCCAUUAUUAAAGUGUAACUAAUGUUAAAGAUAGGGACUGUCUUCUUCGUCUCUAUGGAUAUAAUAAAAUGCAAGGGACAUAGAGGCUCAAUGGUCUAGUGGCAUGAUUCUUGCUUUAGGUUCAAAUCCCGGUUGAGCCCAUUGUUGGAGUGUAACUAAUGUUGUCAGUGCAAUUUCCGCUUGUUUCAUUUUUUACAAAGACACUCGAAAUAGCACAUCCUUAAUACUAUUCAAUGCAGAGAACAAACCAAACUCGACUGAAUCGCAAGUCUUGCCCUGAAGUUAAGAGUACUUCCUUAUUGUAGGUGUUAUCACAUGCGCCAAACAUCCCUAACGUGCCUUUUGUAUUCGGGUGAGGUACACAUGUAGUAAUAACUUAAACUACUCUGGGUCCCAGUCUUACGCAGUUGUAUAGCUACGGACUCUGUGGCGCAAUGGUAGCGCGUCUGACUCCAGAUCAGAAGUUUGCGUGUUCAAUUCACGUCAAAGUCAGAAAAAACAGCAUUAAAACAUGGUUACAAAAUAAUGGUUCUUGAGUGAAGUAGUUGUAAGAAGAAAAUCUUGCUCCAGGUUGUGACUGUUGUGAAUGGCUACGGACUCUGUGGCGCAAUGGUAGCGCGUCUGACUCCAGAUCAGAAGGUUGCGUGUUCAAUUCAAGUCAGAGUCAGAAAAAACAGUAUUAAAACAUGGUUACAAAAUAAUAGUUCUUGAGUUAAGUAAUUGUAAGAAGAAAAUCUUGCUCCAGGUUGUGACUUCAUUAUUGCGUACUGAGGCUGUUUUUUAUAUCCUUAGAGACAACGAAGACAGUCCCUAUUUUUCCAAAGCCAUUCUUAAUAGAACAUUGUGACAUGUUGCAUGUGACAUGGAAGCUCAAUGGUCUAGUGGCAUGAUUCUCGCUUUGGGUGCGAGAGGUCCCGGGUUCAAAUCCCGGUUGAGCCCAUUAUUAAAGUGUAACUAAUGUUAAAGAUAGGGACUGUCUUCUUCGUCUCUAUGGAUAUAAUGAAAUGCACGGGACAUAGAGGCUCAAUGGUCUAGUGGCAUGAUUCUUGCUUUAGGUUCAAAUCCCGGUUGAGCCCAUUGUUGGAGUGUAACUAAUGUUGUCAGUGCAAUUUCCGCUUGUUUCAUUUUUUACAAAGACACUCGAAAUAGCACAUCCUUAAUGCUAUUUACUGCAGAGAACAAACCAAACUCGACUGAAUCGCAAGUCUUGCCCUGAAGUUAAGAGUAUUUCCUUAUUGUAGGUGUUAUCACAUGCGCCUAACA
Molecule: long non-coding RNA, 3629 nt
Organism: Hydractinia symbiolongicarpus
Lineage: Eukaryota; Metazoa; Cnidaria; Hydrozoa; Anthoathecata; Hydractiniidae
Exons: 2
Source: RefSeq, a predicted model, not a curated record